GGAUCAUCUGCUGUCAUCUCUGCUAAAUGGCUCUCUGCUCCUUCCUGUCAACUUUUGGUACUCUGCUGAACUGCAGCGUCCAUGAAGUCUUUUCAGAAUAGGAGGCUACGUCUCGGUUCUUUUAAAUCAUCACACCAGGAGCCCAGAAGAAGCAGGGAGACAGAUCUUAGGACUGGAAAGGACAGAAUGAAGAUCACUAGGAAAAUGGUUUAUUUCUCUUUUAACCAUUUGCUGCUACCCCAUUGCUCAGGAGUGAGGAUAACAAAAUUCAAGAGAUAUAUGAGACCUCAGAGGCCAUCUUUUACAACUUAUGCUUAAGAAAUUAUGCCUUUGAAGAUAGCUCCAACAUGGUAUCAUACAUCGUUUGCUUGAAGGCAUUGGGUAAGGGGGAACCUGUUACUUUUGGAGGGAACUCAUUCUGUUUUUGUAUAGUUCUAUUU
RNAcentral lists this long non-coding RNA (440 nucleotides) under Monodelphis domestica (gray short-tailed opossum). RNAcentral describes it as "lncRNA (ENSMODG00000047818.1)". The record is from RNAcentral. Lineage: Eukaryota; Metazoa; Chordata; Mammalia; Didelphimorphia; Didelphidae.